UACGUAGGUGGCAAGCGUUGUCCGGAUUUACUGGGCGUAAAGAGCGCGCAGGCGGUCUUUUAAGUCGAAUGUGAAAGCCCCCGGCUCAACUGGGGAGGGUCAUUCGAUACUGAUCGACUUGAAGGCAGGAGAGGGUAGUGGAAUUCCCGGUGUAGUGGUGAAAUUCGUAGAUAUUCGGAGGAACACCAGUGGCGAAGGCGGCUCACUGGUCCGGUACUGACGCUGAGGUGCGAAAGCGUGGGGAGCAAACAGG
RNAcentral lists this ribosomal RNA (253 nucleotides) under uncultured bacterium. RNAcentral describes it as "partial 16S ribosomal RNA". It matches the Rfam family "Bacterial small subunit ribosomal RNA", at positions 524 to 776 of the family's 1533-position model. The record is from RNAcentral.